RNAcentral lists this ribosomal RNA (583 nucleotides) under uncultured bacterium. RNAcentral's name for it is "partial 16S ribosomal RNA". It matches the Rfam family "Bacterial small subunit ribosomal RNA", at positions 355 to 1375 of the family's 1533-position model. The record is from RNAcentral.
UAAGGAAUAUUGGUCAAUGGACGAAAGUCUGAACCAGCCAUGCCGCGUGGAGGAUGAAAGGUCCUCUGGAUUGUAAACUUCUUUUAUCUGGGACGAAAAAACGGUCUUUCUAGAUCGUCUGACGGUACCAGAUGAAUAAGCACCGGCUAACUCCGUGCCAGCAGCCGCGGUAAUACGGAGGGUGCAAGCGUUAUCCGGAUUCACUGGGUUUAAAGGGUGCGUAGGUGGGUUGGUAAGUCAGUGGUGAAAUCUUCGAGCUUAACUCGGAAACUGCCAUUGAUACUAUCAGUCUUGAAUAUUGUGGAGGUUAGCGGAAUAUGUCAUGUAGCGGUGAAAUGCUUAGAUAUGACAUAGAACACCAAUUGCGAAGGCAGCUGGCUACACAUAUAUUGACACUGAGGCACGAAAAGCGUGGGGAUCAAACAGGAUUAGAUACCCUGGUAGUCCACGCCCUAAACUAUGGAUACUCGACAUACGCGAUACACUGCGUGUGUCUGAGCGAAAGCAUUAAAGUAUCCCCACCUGGGAAGUACGAUCGCAAGAUUGAAACUCAAAGGAAUUGACGGGGUCAUAGCUGUUUCCU